CGCGUAGGCGGCGGACCUUGUCGAGUGUGAAAGCCCCGGGCUCAACCUGGGAGGUGCGCUCGAGACGGGUUUGCUGGAGUUCGGGAGAGGAGAGUGGAAUUCCCAGUGUAGAGGUGAAAUUCGUAGAUAUUGGGAAGAACACCGGUGGCGAAGGCGGCUCUCUGGACCGAGACUGACGCUGAGGCGCGAAAGCGUGGGGAGCAAACAGGAUUAGAUACCCUGGUAGUCCACGCUGUAAACGAUGUGUGCUAGACGUUGGGGAGCGUAGCUCUUCGGUGUCGCCGCAAAACGCUUUAAGCACACCGCCUGGGGAGUACGGCCGCAAGGUUAAA
Molecule: ribosomal RNA, 332 nt
Filed under: uncultured bacterium
Lineage: Bacteria
Description: bacterial SSU rRNA
Rfam family: Bacterial small subunit ribosomal RNA
Source: RNAcentral